AUUGAACGCUGGCGGCAUGCCUUACACAUGCAAGUCGAACGGCAGCGCGGGAGCAAUCCUGGCGGCGAGUGGCGAACGGGUGAGUAAUACAUCGGAACGUGCCCAAUCGUGGGGGAUAACGCAGCGAAAGCUGUGCUAAUACCGCAUACGAUCUACGGAUGAAAGCAGGGGAUCGCAAGACCUUGCGCGAAUGGAGCGGCCGAUGGCAGAUUAGGUAGUUGGUGAGGUAAAGGCUCACCAAGCCUUCGAUCUGUAGCUGGUCUGAGAGGACGACCAGCCACACUGGGACUGAGACACGGCCCAGACUCCUACGGGAGGCAGCAGUGGGGAAUUUUGGACAAUGGGCGAAAGCCUGAUCCAGCCAUGCGCGUGCAGGAUGAAGGCC
RNAcentral lists this ribosomal RNA (385 nucleotides) under uncultured bacterium. Its description in RNAcentral is "bacterial SSU rRNA". It matches the Rfam family "Bacterial small subunit ribosomal RNA", at positions 29 to 416 of the family's 1533-position model. The record is from RNAcentral.